UUCAAGAUUCUAAGAGCAAACGGUGGAUGCCUUGGCAUCUGGAGCCGAAGAAGGACGUAUAAAUCUGCGAUAAGCCUCGGGGAGCUGAUAAUAGAGCUGUGAUCCGAGGAUCUCCGAAUGGGGAAACCCCGCCAGGCCCUUUGGGUGACCUGGUGACUCCCGCCUGAAUAUAUAGGGCGGGUUGAGGGAACGUGGGGAAGUGAAACAUCUCAGUACCCACAGGAAGAGAAAGCAAAAGCGAUUCCGUUAGUAGUGGCGAGCGAAACCGGAAGAGGCCAAACCGAUCAUGUGUGAUAUCCGGUAGGAGUUGCAUGGUCGGGGUUGCGGGACUUUCCGUACAGUUCUACCGAGCUGUGAGGGCAAUGAGCGCGAUAUAGACGAAUGGUCUUGAAAGGCCAGUCAUAGAGGGUGCGAACCCCGUAGUCGAAAUGUCGUCGCCUGUCCGGAGAGUAUCCCAAGUAGCACGGG
Molecule: ribosomal RNA, 468 nt
Filed under: Clavibacter michiganensis subsp. insidiosus
Lineage: Bacteria; Bacillati; Actinomycetota; Actinomycetes; Micrococcales; Microbacteriaceae
Description: bacterial LSU rRNA
Rfam family: Bacterial large subunit ribosomal RNA
Source: RNAcentral